This 459-nucleotide ribosomal RNA is filed under the name uncultured bacterium. RNAcentral describes it as "bacterial SSU rRNA". It matches the Rfam family "Bacterial small subunit ribosomal RNA", at positions 341 to 793 of the family's 1533-position model. The record is from RNAcentral.
UCGGGAGGCAGCAGUGGGGAAUAUUGCACAAUGGGCGCAAGCCUGAUGCAGCCAUGCCGCGUGUAUGAAGAAGGCCUUCGGGUUGUAAAGUACUUUCAGCAGUGAGGAAGGUGGGUAUGUUAAUAGCAUAUUCAUUUGACGUUAGCUGCAGAAGAAGCACCGGCUAACUCCGUGCCAGCAGCCGCGGUAAUACGGAGGGUGCGAGCGUUAAUCGGAAUUACUGGGCGUAAAGCGCAUGCAGGUGGUUUGUUAAGUCAGAUGUGAAAGCCCGGGGCUCAACCUCGGAAUUGCAUUUGAAACUGGCAAACUAGAGUACUGUAGAGGGGGUAGAAUUUCAGGUGUAGCGGUGAAAUGCGUAGAGAUCUGAAGGAAUACCGGUGGCGAAGGCGGCCCCCUGGACAGAUACUGACACUCAGAUGCGAAAGCGUGGGGAGCAAACAGGAUUAGAUACCCUGGUAG